GACGAACGCUGGCGGCGUGCCUAAUACAUGCAAGUAGAACGCUGAAGGAGGAGCUUGCUUCUCUGGAUGAGUUGCGAACGGGUGAGUAACGCGUAGGUAACCUGCCUGGUAGCGGGGGAUAACUAUUGGAAACGAUAGCUAAUACCGCAUAAGAGUAGAUGUCGCAUGACAUUUGCUUGAAAGGUGCAAUUGCAUCACUACUAGAUGGACCUGCGUUGUAUUAGCUAGUUGGUGAGGUAACGGCUCACCAAGGCAACGAUACAUAGCCGACCUGAGAGGGUGAUCGGCCACACUGGGACUGAGACACGGCCCAGACUCCUACGGGAGGCAGCAGUAGGGAAUCUUCGGCAAUGGACGGAAGUCUGACCGAGCAACGCCGCGUGAGUGAAGAAGGUUUUCGGAUCGUAAAGCUCUGUUGUAAGAGAAGAACGAGUGUGAGAGUGGAAAGUUCACACUGUGACGGUAUCUUACCAGAAAGGGACGGCUAACUACGUGCCAGCAGCCGCGGUAAUACGUAGGUCUCGAGCGUUGUCCGGAUUUAUUGGGCGUAAAGCGAGCGCAGGCGGUUAGAUAAGUCUGAAGUUAAAGGCUGUGGCUUAACCAUAGUACGCUUUGGAAACUGUUUAACUUGAGUGCAAGAGGGGAGAGUGGAAUUCCAUGUGUAGCGGUGAAAUGCGUAGAUAUAUGGAGGAACACCGGUGGCGAAAGCGGCUCUCUGGCUUGUAACUGACGCUGAGGCUCGAAAGCGUGGGGAGCAAACAGG
RNAcentral lists this ribosomal RNA (763 nucleotides) under uncultured Streptococcus sp. RNAcentral describes it as "bacterial SSU rRNA". It matches the Rfam family "Bacterial small subunit ribosomal RNA", at positions 28 to 776 of the family's 1533-position model. The record is from RNAcentral. Lineage: Bacteria; Bacillati; Bacillota; Bacilli; Lactobacillales; Streptococcaceae.